CAGGUAUGUGACCAUUAACUCCAAUAUGUAUAUGUUUCAUAACUACUACAAACACUUGAACAUAAUUGUACCUAAACUAUUUGUUGGUGAUCUUGGAUGUUUGAAUAUAAUCAUACAUGUGUCUGCAGUAAGCUUGAUUGUGUUUAUAUUCUGUGUUUGAUCUUUCAUCUGCUGCAUUAUAAGUUAUGCAACAAUGGUAGUUCUGAUUUGGUAGUCGCGUUCUCUGUUUCAGUCUUCCUCUCUUGAUUUUUAGGACUUUCUUGGUGUUUGCUUAUAUUAUUGUUCUUCUCUCCUUUAUCGUUGGCAUGUGGUUAGUACUUUCUGUAUCCUAUCAUAUCUUUUCUUACAUGUUUUUUGUGCUUCCAAAUGCAGUUUUUCCUUCUUAGUUUAUUUGGAUGGCUAGGCAUGUUUCAAGGAGAAGACCUGUUAUUGCUUUAUUUUUGAAGGUAAUACCCUCCCAUUUUUUACAUCAGUAGAGGAUCCAAGGGUUUUUAAGUUUUAGAGCUUGCAUGUAAUGUCUGGCAAUUUACUUUGGGAUUGCUAGUUUGUACUAGUAUCCAUAUAUUGUGUUUGUCUAAAAUUGGUUCUGUAACGGAGAGUACUGAAGCUGUGAGAAUGUGAAAUUGUGUUGGCUGCACUGUCAUGGCAAGCUCAUGAAACGGCUCCUAGUCUCACCUUCACAGCCUCUCUCUACAUACGCUUCAUGAAACGGCUCUUCUUCCUCAUUAAUCUCUUCUUCGUUAUCAUCAUACUCUUUUUUAUGCUUUGAGGAACUAGUGCUCUGUUGGAAUUGAAAGAAGAGGAGAAGAAUUCCGUUUCGAUAAAUACUGGGUUUAGGGUCUUUGUGGGUUUUGAAAGGCUGAACAUUGGAGGGGUUUUGUUUGUGCUGCAGUUUGGAAUGUGGUUAUCUGGGCGAUUGAUUGGGAGGGUUUCAAGGAAAUGCUUUAAGGAGAGUUACAUCUUACAACCUGGAAUAUGGGCUUUUGAAUAUCAAGCCUGAAGGUUGCUCAGGAGUCAUUGGCAGAAGACUCAUUGAGGCAGCCAAAAUGAGAGCUGGGAGUUGCAGUGGUGGAAUAAAAUGUGACUUGAGUGUGGCAAUAGCCCUUACCCAAUGACAGAAUUGCCAUCACUUGAAGCUUUAUGACAUCGGAUUAUUAUCUCAACCAAGGCACCAAAAGUUGGUGAAGAUAGUGACAAGGAUUCGUCUGAAAAAUCAGAAAGGAAUGACGGUGAUAGAGAAACUGAGUGCAAAACUGCAGUUGACAUCAAACCUGUCCAUUCCGAACUCUGAAGCACCCAAGUACGUGGAACUUAUAACAAUCCACGCUGGAAAACCGUAGGGUUGUUUGGAAGAAGCUGUAAAGGUUCACACAGAGGAACAUUCUAAGGAUCUACCCCAAAGGAACACGAGUUACCUCCUUGAAUUACCAAUCGCAUGUUGGGUGGGUGCGUGGAGCUCAAAUAGUUGUGUUCAAUAUGCAGGUUAGCUUUGGAGUUUCAUGAAAUCUUAUUGGAACCUAAUAACAUGUCAAUGGCAGAGAUCGAUAAGAAAUAUAACCCGAUCUCUGGAUAUAAAAUUUUAUGACAAGGACGUGGCAAAUCACGAUUGUUGAUGAAUGGAAUGUUUAGAGCCAAUGAGGAUGCGGUUACUUGAAAAAGCCAGCCUUUUUUAUGCACAAGGGCGCAAAUGUUGAGGAUUUUUAAUCCUAAAAGGACCUUGAUAGUGGCAAAGACAUUGAAGGUGAAAGCAUACAUGGGGAAUAAAUGGCACUUGGAUUUAGGUCAAACACACUUCGAUUCGUUCGCCCCACAGACUUCUACAUAAAAGUGGGGAGUUUCUCAGACAUGGAGGAACUUCAACAUCUUAAUGCCUGGCUUAAUGAAGUGAAGUUAAAACUACUGUUAAAAAUGGUGCUGUAGAUGUGUACCGAAAAU
This is a long non-coding RNA of Rosa chinensis, 1935 nucleotides long. RefSeq lists it as uncharacterized. NCBI's taxonomy places the organism in Eukaryota, Viridiplantae, Streptophyta, Magnoliopsida, Rosales, Rosaceae. The record is from RefSeq and is a predicted model, not a curated record. The transcript has 8 exons.